This 99-nucleotide transfer RNA is filed under the name Microlunatus panaciterrae. RNAcentral describes it as "tRNA-Ser". Lineage: Bacteria; Bacillati; Actinomycetota; Actinomycetes; Propionibacteriales; Propionibacteriaceae. The record is from RNAcentral.
GGGGGCGCUCCAGACACGGAGGAACGGUGAAGUGACGACCUGCUAAGCGGGUUGAGGGUUCAUCCCCUCUCGCGGGUUCAAAUCCCGCCGCCUCCGCCA